CUCACAACCGUCAUGACUCUUUGCACCAGACCCAAAAUUUCCUCAAAGCCUGAGUUGCUACCAUCACAAAACAACGCUGCCAGUCGACGAUUAUUUGCAGCUCCAACAUCGCGUGUCUUGUCAAGAGUCACGACAUCGCCCACUUCAAAUAUCUUUAUUGGCUUUGGAUGAUCAAUAUUGUACUUCAAAGUUUUCAGUAAGCAUGACAUUAGAUUUGUACGCACAACCUGAAACUCAGUGG
RNAcentral lists this unclassified non-coding RNA (241 nucleotides) under Hevea brasiliensis (rubber tree). Lineage: Eukaryota; Viridiplantae; Streptophyta; Magnoliopsida; Malpighiales; Euphorbiaceae. The record is from RNAcentral.